Molecule: ribosomal RNA, 896 nt
Filed under: gut metagenome
Description: bacterial SSU rRNA
Rfam family: Bacterial small subunit ribosomal RNA
Source: RNAcentral
AGAGUUCGAUCCUGGCUCAGGAUGAACGCUGGCGGCGCGCCUAACACAUGCAAGUCGAACGGCACCCCUCUCCGGAGGGAAGCGAGUGGCGAACGGCUGAGUAACACGUGGAGAACCUGCCCCCUCCCCCGGGAUAGCCGCCCGAAAGGACGGGUAAUACCGGAUACCCCGGGGUGCCGCAUGGCACCCCGGCUAAAGCCCCGACGGGAGGGGAUGGCUCCGCGGCCCAUCAGGUAGACGGCGGGGUGACGGCCCACCGUGCCGACAACGGGUAGCCGGGUUGAGAGACCGACCGGCCAGAUUGGGACUGAGACACGGCCCAGACUCCUACGGGAGGCAGCAGUGGGGAAUCUUGCGCAAUGGGGGGAACCCUGACGCAGCGACGCCGCGUGCGGGACGGAGGCCUUCGGGUCGUAAACCGCUUUCAGCAGGGAAGAGUCAAGACUGUACCUGCAGAAGAAGCCCCGGCUAACUACGUGCCAGCAGCCGCGGUAAUACGUAGGGGGCGAGCGUUAUCCGGAUUCAUUGGGCGUAAAGCGCGCGUAGGCGGCCCGGCAGGCCGGGGGUCGAAGCGGGGGGCUCAACCCCCCGAAGCCCCCGGAACCUCCGCGGCUUGGGUCCGGUAGGGGAGGGUGGAACACCCGGUGUAGCGGUGGAAUGCGCAGAUAUCGGGUGGAACACCGGUGGCGAAGGCGGCCCUCUGGGCCGAGACCGACGCUGAGGCGCGAAAGCUGGGGGAGCGAACAGGAUUAGAUACCCUGGUAGUCCCAGCCGUAAACGAUGGACGCUAGGUGUGGGGGGACGAUCCCCCCGUGCCGCAGCCAACGCAUUAAGCGUCCCGCCUGGGGAGUACGGCCGCAAGGCUAAAACUCAAAGGAAUUGACGGGGGCCCGCAC